This is a non-coding RNA of Labeo rohita (rohu), 524 nucleotides long. Lineage: Eukaryota; Metazoa; Chordata; Actinopteri; Cypriniformes; Cyprinidae. The record is from the annotation of a RefSeq genome assembly.
GCAUGUUUACUGCUUUACACACAAAACUCCUCUGAUGAUCAGUGUGUGUUCAGAGAGUCACUGACACACAAUACAAUCAUGUCUCUUUUACUAAUUGUGGCUACAGUGGGUCUGCUUGCUCAAGUGUCUCAUCAAGAGGUCCAGACUCCUGAAUCUCUGUCUGUUAAAGCAGGUGAAUCUGCUUCUAUCAGCUGCACUACAUCUUCUGGAAUGGGUUAUGACGUGAGCUGGUAUCUGCAGAAACCUGGAAAAGCUCCUAAACUCCUGAUCUACACAACAAGUUACCUUGCAUCUGGAGUUUCAAAUCGGUUCAGUGGAACUUAUUCUGGAUAUGUAUUUACACUGAACAUACGUGGAGUCCAGCUUGAGGAUAUAGGAGAUUAUUACUGUAUGGGGUAUUAUGCUUCUAGUAGAGUGUUCACACAGUGAAACAGCAUCGUACAAAAACCUCCCUCAGUCAGACGACACAGUGAAUGUACUCAUGCAGUAACUAUGAACUCAUUUCCAUUAAACGAGAAAUGAAU